AUUGAACGCUGGCGGCAGGCUUAACACAUGCAAGUCGAGCGGUAACAGAGAUAGCUUGCUAUCUGCUGACGAGCGGCGGACGGGUGAGUAACGCGUAGGAAACUACCCGGUAGUGGGGGACAACAGUUGGAAACGACUGCUAAUACCGCAUACGCUCUACGGAGGAAAGGGGGCUUCGGCUCUCGCUAUCGGAUGUGCCUGCGUUGGAUUAGCUAGUUGGUGGGGUAAAGGCCUACCAAGGCGACGAUCCAUAGCUGGUCUGAGAGGAUGAUCAGCCACACUGGGACUGAGACACGGCCCAGACUCCUACGGGAGGCAGCAGUGGGGAAUAUUGGACAAUGGGCGCAAGCCUGAUCCAGCCAUGCCGCGUGUGUGAAGAAGGCUUUCGGGUUGUAAAGCACUUUCAUCAGUGAGGAAAGCUUGUUGGUUAAUACCCAUCAAGUGUGACGUUAACUGAAGAAGAAGCACCGGCUAACUCC
RNAcentral lists this ribosomal RNA (479 nucleotides) under uncultured bacterium. RNAcentral describes it as "bacterial SSU rRNA". It matches the Rfam family "Bacterial small subunit ribosomal RNA", at positions 30 to 504 of the family's 1533-position model. The record is from RNAcentral.